GACGAACGCUGGCGGCGUGCCUAAUACAUGCAAGUCGAACGCUUCUUUCCUCCCGAGUGCUUGCACUCAAUUGGAAAGAGGAGUGGCGGACGGGUGAGUAACACGUGGGUAACCUACCCAUCAGAGGGGGAUAACACUUGGAAACAGGUGCUAAUACCGCAUAACAGUUUAUGCCGCAUGGCAUAAGAGUGAAAGGCGCUUUCGGGUGUCGCUGAUGGAUGGACCCGCGGUGCAUUAGCUAGUUGGUGAGGUAACGGCUCACCAAGGCCACGAUGCAUAGCCGACCUGAGAGGGUGAUCGGCCACACUGGGACUGAGACACGGCCCAGACUCCUACGGGAGGCAGCAGUAGGGAAUCUUCGGCAAUGGACGAAAGUCUGACCGAGCAACGCCGCGUGAGUGAAGAAGGUUUUCGGAUCGUAAAACUCUGUUGUUAGAGAAGAACAAGGGCGUUAGUAACUGAACGUCCCCUGACGGUAUCUAACCAGAAAGCCACGGCUAACUACGUG
This 508-nucleotide ribosomal RNA is filed under the name uncultured bacterium. RNAcentral's name for it is "partial 16S ribosomal RNA". It matches the Rfam family "Bacterial small subunit ribosomal RNA", at positions 28 to 507 of the family's 1533-position model. The record is from RNAcentral.